CCUACGGGAGGCUGCAGUGAGGAAUAUUGGUCAAUGGGCGUAAGCCUGAACCAGCCAAGCCGCGUGAGGGAUGAAGGUUCUAUGCAUCGUAAACUUCUUUUAUAAGGGGAUAAAGUGCGGGACGUGUCCCGUUUCGUAUGUACCUUAUGAAUAAGGAUCGGCUAACUCCGUGCCAGCAGCCGCGGUAAUACGGAGGAUCCGAGCGUUAUCCGGAUUUUUUGGGUUUAAAGGGUGCGUAGGCGGCCUUUUAAGUCAGCGGUGAAAGUCGGGGGCUCAACCCUAGAAGAGCCGUUGAAACUGGGUGGCUUGAGAAGGUGUGAGGCAGGCGGAAUGCGUGGUGUAGCGGUGAAAUGCUUAGAUAUCGCGCAGAACCCCGAGUGCGAAGGCAGCCUGCC
This 395-nucleotide ribosomal RNA is filed under the name uncultured bacterium. RNAcentral describes it as "partial 16S ribosomal RNA". It matches the Rfam family "Bacterial small subunit ribosomal RNA", at positions 338 to 730 of the family's 1533-position model. The record is from RNAcentral.